RNAcentral lists this long non-coding RNA (5171 nucleotides) under Mytilus galloprovincialis (Mediterranean mussel). Lineage: Eukaryota; Metazoa; Mollusca; Bivalvia; Mytilida; Mytilidae. The record is from RNAcentral.
AGGUAAAGAUGUUUUUGAACUACCAUAUGUGAAAAGAUCGAUAACUUUUUCACGAAAGAUAUUUCCUACAGUAGCAUAUGGAUAUGCAGUUACUCCAUCGUACACACCUGGCCAUAUUGGAUUUCUUCUAUGUAGCACGAAUCCAGUAAGUAACAAUAUACCAGCAAACAUAUAAACAUCUUAUUCAUUGAAGCUGCUUCAAAAAUAUCGAACGAUAUCAGUUGCUAGCGAUCCUUCACAUGAAUAUUUGAAGAAAAUUUUGAUUUAGAAGGUUCGUGUUGCUUUCUUUUUUUAUUUAAUUUUUCUUGUUGUCCUGUUUUAUUUAUGUAUAUAGUUAUCAAAGGUACCAGGAUUAUAAUUUAGUACGCCAGACGCGCGUUUCGUCUACAUAAGACUCAUCAGUGACGCUCAUAUCAAAAAAAUUUAUAAAGCCAAACAAGUACAAAGCAUUAAGGAUCCAAUAUUCAAAAAAGUUGUGCCAAAUAUCUGUGUUGUUUGUAUAGUCUUAUUAAUCCUCUGUCCUGUUUUCGUUUCAAUAUGGCACAUUUGUGGUCAAGUUGGAGAAUGUUCUUGUGUUGUACUUGUGUUGCUCAAUUUUAUGAUUUAUGUGUAGUGUUUUUUGAAAACUGGUUGAUUUCGUCUUCAAACAGUCUUAUGUUCUCGAGCAGCACAUCCAAUGUCACAAAUGUUUUGACUGGUAUUUGAUGUAUUGAUGAUUUUUUGCUUUCUGUAUUUGUCACACUUCGUGUGUGGUUUAAUUUACACCAGCUUUUGGUUAUUUUACCUAUUAGCACUACUUUUGCAUUUAUCAUUUGCCUUCUCAACUAUCAAAAUCGAAUGAAGUUUUGCGUACUUUCAUCUAAUUGGUACUUUGGUACUUGUUCUGUCUGUCAUUCAAAGAUAUCUAUAUAUAUUUACGUUACAAUUGUUUAUUUGACAGAAUACCAGUUUUCGGGAGCCUUUAAAGACCUUAACAGAAAAUGAGAUAAAAGAGCGGAAGUUAAAGUAUUACAGCAGUGAUAUUCACCGAGCGUGUUUCAUUCUUCCGAACUAUAUAAAGGAGGUGUGUAUUGAUUUUUAUCCUACAUACGCGCCGCACGUGAAAUAAUCCAUACAUAGAUUAGCACAGUUGCUAUAAGUGAAAUAUCAUCGUUUAAGGUGGUACCCAACACUUUCACUAAAAUUAAUUUGGCUCGUUUAAUUUUUAUAAAAUUUUGAUAAAGUACUUACUUUGACCCUUUAACAAAUAUAUCAUUGUUCAUUGUAAUACAUUUAACAUCCCUGGCUUCCAAAUAUGUGACUUUGAUCGAUCCUGAUGAAGGUAAAUCCAGAAAAGAGCCUUGGAAGCAUUCAAUUUUUAACGUUUUGUUUUCAUAUAAGUUCGUCCAUUUAAACUUACUUCGUUUUUCCGCAAUUCCUAUCUUGUUCUUCUUUACAGCUUUUUAAAAACAAAACGUUCCUUUUGUCCGUUCUUUUUUUAGCUAUUAAAAUCUUUUAUACUAGUCAAUUAGACAACUCAACGACAAAAGUAAUCAAGCUCUGAAUAGAUCAGAAUCUUUAAUAUUUAAAUCAUUUUUAACAGAAGAUAUGCCAUAAAAGCCCAAUUAUGAAAAUUAUGAAAAAAUCAUCAGUUCCCAGUUUCGAAGUUGCGUUAAAUGGGUCUUUUACUUCCACAAUAUUAUAUUAUAAGCUUUAAACGAUAACGUUUUAUACGGCAGUCUGAUUUAUGUAGCAAAUUUGAGGCUUAUUUUUUGCAUGACAUGGUUAGAUAUAUCUACACUUUUAUCAAAUUUGGCAUCUCCUACCUCUAGUUUAUUAUCCGAAUUCAGUAUCAAGUCAAAGAAUGUAAAAAGGUAUAAUCACCAUUCUAGCAUUGCUUAGGUUUCGGAGCAUCGAUUGCUAAACCAAACAGUAAUUGUUUCUGCUUUUCAAGCUGUCGUUCUGUACGUCUAUCAUGUCUAUUGUGAACUGACGCGACUCUUUAUGGGGGGAGGGGGGGCAUAUUUAUUUUCAGUGAGAGCAUUCGCUUCCUCUGAUGUUUUUUUCAAAUUCCUGUCAUAAAUGGUUCCAAUUAAAUAUGUUUAUAGGUCUCCUCAGACUUAUUCCAAAAUUGCUAAUGAUGUAACCAUCCAUGUCGAUAUCAAUUAACAUGUUCAUCUUGUUAUUCGAUGGUGUUUUUCAACAGAAUUAUUAUAGGAUUAAACACAUUUUUUUCUAGAGGUUAUUGAUGUGUAAACCGGGGCGAUUAACUCACAAACUGAAUAAAAGUCCGAAGACUUUUAUGUAAAGUUUGUGAGUAAGAGCCCCGGUUUACACAUCAAUAACCUCUAGAAAAAAUGUGUUUAAUCCUUAUAAUUCUGAAGCCAAAUUGUCUCAAUUUUUAUUAACAUUUGCUGUGUAAAGGUUAGUAUAAUCGCCAUCACAUGCACAACUGACAGGUCGUUACUAAAGGAGUUGGCCGCCAUAUUGACUUUCUAAUGUUCAUAAAUGUUCGAUAAAUGCAACGGAGUUUAAAAUAAAAUAACACCUACCUCUAAAACUUCAUUUUAAUGAGAUAUUAUCAGAAUUUGAAGCGCACACGUAACGAAAUAAUCUUUCCCCUAGAAUUUUUCAUUCGUAUGACGUCGUGUUUUGCCAUGACGUAAAUUCGCCAAAUUUGUUCAUGGAAUUUCGCGGAAUUUAUUUAAAUUUUAUUUUUAUACAUUUUCGAAGCUAGUGGAUUUAUUUAUUUUAUUCAUUUUUUUUUGUUUUAUACGCAUUAGAAUAGAAACAACUAUUAUGCAUUUGUUUUUUAAUCUCAAUUUGCUGAAAAUCAAAGUAUCCCUGCAAGGAUGUGUAUCGCGCAUGAAUAGAUUACGAAAGUAGUUUCGGAAACAUGGUUUAUCGAAGUGUUAACCAAGAGAAAAAUUCGAAUUGACCAAUGCAAUUCAAGUAUUCAUAGAUAUGCAAAUCAUAUAAGAAUUAUUACAUCUUAUCUUGUUUAGUCAAAUACUUACUCAACACAAGAUUGAAAACACAAACUGCUUGGCCAAUGCUUGAACUAUCUAGGCUACAAGCGGUACCAUGUUAUUUUUGUAUCAAAAUUUGAUAAUUAAUUUAUCAAACCAUUUAUAUAACUUUUCAUCGGUAGUUUGAUGUACAGAAAACAAAAAAGGUUACUGAUUUCGUUUCUUCCUUAAAGUCAUAAGAAACGAGUGACUGGUGAAAAAUAAUGUUUAUCCAAUUCUUGAACCAAUGCAUGUAUAUAUCAUAAACUUAGUCCUCUGUGCACGAUUUUAUCAUUUUUACGCAAAUAUAUCGUAUAAUCGUCAAUUUUUUUUCUCUCUGUCUGUUAUGAUUUAACAAAUAUGGCUACUCAUUAAAUGCCGUGUUUUGAAGCUGAAGUUUACCGAUUGUCCCCUUAUAGUAAAUAAUCAACAAAAAGCAUUGGUAUUUAGCACGUGUUUAACAUAUACAAUCAGGUAAUUGUUUAUUUUAAUGACAAAUAUCAUACGUAUUGCUAUCGCCGGAUUUGUACGAGGAGGGUCACGCUUAGGUCAAUAUGCAUACGGAAAAUAUGUCGGCGAAUUGCUUCCUGGAAGCAAGCAAUUAAAAAAUAGUAAACUUCUUCUAAAUGUGGACAAAUUAAAGAAUUUUCCUCCGAAAAAAGUAUAUGUACAUAAGUUGUAUAAUGAAAACUAUCCAUUUAAUUUAAAAAAACAAAUGCAUAUUUGUUUUUUAAUUUGAGGUUUCAUAUGACUUUAAUAAUAUACGGUUCAGAUGAGAUUAGAACACUGGCAUCCAUUUUCUGUAACAAUAUUUAUCAUGAAGUGACUACAAUUUAAUCUGUUGUCUUUUAGAGUUUGGUAGUAAUUUUGACUAAAAGAGAAAACAAGGCAUUCCAUGUAUCCUCCACCUACUAUAAAUUACUUAUCAAUUAACUAUUGGUCUUCCUCAUAGCAGAUGCAGUAUAACCAAACUUUCCUACAUGUUCUGAUUCGAACAACCAUGCAUAUACUGCAAACCCAACUUUGUCUACUAUCUUCUUAAAUCGUUUAAAGAUGGGUAUUAAUAUUGUUCCAUGCAGUGUUUUAGCGUACAUGAUAACCUUCUCGUGAUAUAUUUGUCGGUUUUACAAGUUUAAAGUUUACUUACAAGCUAGUUAAAAUCGAAUAACUAUGCUAAACUUAUUAUACGUACCAAUUUCUUUGAUAAGUUUUUGAUUUUGUCAAAAUGAUUUGGGUUCUAUCAUUGUUAAGAAUGGGUUAACUAUCCGUUACACAACACCAUAUGUAUAAUCAAAAUUGAUCUAAAAAAAGCAGUUUGUCGGUAGCUGUUUCAAAUUUGAUCUCAAAAUUAGGAUUUACUGAUUGUCUUACAAUUUCCAACAUCAAAUAUGCUUAAAGAUCCACACUGUGAGAAAUAUGACGAGGAACAUUUCCUUGAGGAAUGAACAUGUCAUCAACAGUACAAAUAACCUUACUAGUAUAUAAAAAAUAUAUCUUUGAAAUCUUUUAGUAAGAGAUGAAAUUAUCUUAACCUACUUAGUUCAGAAAAUUAAUGUAUAUCGAUAAUGAGUAAUAUGGAUAAAAAUAAUGUUAGCAAUAUAUAAUUUAAAAAGUUAGGAAACAGUGGAGUUUGAAGAAACACAAAAUGACAAAUUGAAUUAGAAUGCAGUUCGCUACUUUUAGCUUACUAUUGCUUCUAUUCGGAUUUCAUCAGUAGUGCCAUUAUUAAUGUUGUCAAGAAAAUGAAAACAUAGCAUUGUCAUUUCAUUAUUUGAUAUAUCAUAUUUCUUUAUUUAUGUAUCGUACGUUGUAAUUGAUCUGCCCCUUCUGGGCGCGCGCUGUGAUUUGCAAAAUAGGUAUGCACAUAUUAUAUGUUUAUCUAUGAUUCAAAUAUAACAAAGUUAUAGUGUCAAACAAGAAUCUGAGUGUUCAUCGUUGUCAAUAAUUAUUUUGUAUUUGAAUUAAUUUCAGGAAUUGUAUCCCAAUGGUAUACUACAGCAAUAGUAUGAUUUGCGGAGGGUAUUACAAUUCAUUUGAGAAUCAAUUACUGUUUAUUACAAUUAAAUUAAUUAUAUAAAAAAAGAAAGUUCAGUUAUAAAUUUGGCACUGGCUACGGUAACAUGAAAAUGUAACAAUAAUAACAAUAUUAGUGUAACAUUGUAGACUAAUUGCCGGAAUACAGGG